This is a non-coding RNA of Eimeria mitis, 46 nucleotides long. NCBI's taxonomy places the organism in Eukaryota, Apicomplexa, Conoidasida, Eucoccidiorida, Eimeriidae. The record is from Rfam.
CCUUAGGCUUCUCUAGAAGCCACCACAAAUAAAAAAAAAAUAAAAU